Molecule: long non-coding RNA, 649 nt
Organism: Rhincodon typus (whale shark)
Lineage: Eukaryota; Metazoa; Chordata; Chondrichthyes; Orectolobiformes; Rhincodontidae
Exons: 5
Source: RefSeq, a predicted model, not a curated record
GGAGAGAAAAUAGAUUGCUUAGUACUUUAGCCUUUGUGUUAAUCUUCAGCUUCUCCAGCAUAUUAACUAAAUGGGUCCAGUCGAGUGGGCAUUUCCUCAUUCAGCAACCUGUCGAGGCAAGAAAUAAUGAGCAAACUGCCUGCAAUCUUCCACUUGUUAGAAUCAUGGAGUGAAUCUUCACAUCUUUGUGUCAGCCAAUGAGUUGGAGGCCAGCUAGCAGUCUUUGGAAGUUAUUGAAACUACUGAACAACCUGACAACAUCAUAACCUACGAUGGCAAGCUGUGAAAAGAUGGUGAUAGAGAAAAGAUUACCUCUACUGGAUAGUUCCCAGAAGCUUACAGAUGGAAGAGGCUGCAGGUCUGGGAGUUGCUGUCAGAGGAACCUUGCCUUUGCCCUCCAUGCCAUCGUGACCAGUAUUCACCAUGGACAAACAUGAGGAACCAUGCUGACAGCAAAUGAAAUAAAGUCUGAAGUAGAUCACUACUGCCAGACUGGAGUGGUCUCUGGUGGAUGGGAACAACUUCAAGAAUCAGGUAAAGUUCAGAAUUUGUGUUUUAUUGCACCACAGCUCUCUAUACAAGUUACACAUGAGCUUCCAUGUCUCUUCCUAGGCCCAUUGCUAUAAAUAACUAUGUCUAAAAUUCCAAA